RNAcentral lists this transfer RNA (73 nucleotides) under Camelus bactrianus (Bactrian camel). It matches the Rfam family "tRNA". Rfam says of the family: Transfer RNA (tRNA) molecules are approximately 80 nucleotides in length. Their secondary structure includes four short double-helical elements and three loops (D, anti-codon, and T loops). The record is from Rfam by way of RNAcentral. Lineage: Eukaryota; Metazoa; Chordata; Mammalia; Artiodactyla; Camelidae. RNAcentral also lists the same sequence under 3 other names.
GAGGGUAUAGCUCAAAUGGUAGAGUGCAUGCUUAGCAUGCACAAGGACCUGGGUUCAAUCCCCAGUACCUCCU